Molecule: ribosomal RNA, 138 nt
Filed under: uncultured eukaryote
Lineage: Eukaryota
Description: partial 18S ribosomal RNA
Rfam family: Eukaryotic small subunit ribosomal RNA
Source: RNAcentral
UGGUGGGUUGCCUUGUCAGGUUGAUUCCGGUAACGAACGAGACCUCAGCCUGCUAAAUAGUUACUCCUACUUUGGUAGGUGGCGAACUUCUUAGAGGGACUAUUGGCGUUUAGCUAAUGGAAGUGCGAGGCAAUAACA